UCAGACCUGGAGAAAAGAUCCGAAGCAAUUUUAAAUUAAGACUAUAUUCCCAGACCUGUCAACACUAUAGUAUGAAUCACGGAACUGAGUACUUUCAUUAUUACUCACCAAACUUGCAAGUGUGUCUGCUGACAUCUCCGUGCUCAAUCUGCUGGACUAUUGAUGUGAGCACUGCUGUGCUCCAGAGGAGUUCUUAGCAUGUCCCAGUGAUGUUCAAAAUGUAACCCGAUUGCAAGGGUUCAUGAGGAAACCAAGGAUUGCCCGGCCAGGCUCAAGUCUUCCUCAUCCUUCUUCCUUCUGCCAUCUUUUGAGAAUGGUCACCGUAAGUGGCAUGAUUUGGUAACCGGAGGUCCUGAGCACAAAGGUUCUCAAACCUGAACAGAUAUCGGAACCACCCACCUGGAGGGCUGGGCACACUGAUUGUUUCCCGAGUUUCUAACUGAGUAAGUCUUGUGGGGAUUGGGGGCAAGAAUGCGCAUUUCUAGCAUUCUAGGCGGAGUCCCAGGUGAUGCUGACCAUUGUGCUGCUUAGUUCAGUCCACUACUUCUGGACCACACCCCAGAGCUGAAGAGGAAAGGAGCGACUUAUGCCUGCAGGUCGGCACAAAGUCGUGGCUUUGCCAUCUGACGGAGGACGCGCAGCGGUCGUCUCUGGCUGGGUAGACUGAGACCUGAACGCUGAGGGACUUAGGACCAGCAGUGCCGUCCAGGCCUGGCUGCAGACGGAAACUACUUCAAGAUAAGCUCCACCAAAAAUAGAGAGGAAAUCAAGAAGAUUAAGACGCAGGAUCCAGCGCAACGCUCCAGCACAGGAGAGACCAAAAGAACGUUUGACAAUCCACUGACUUCCUAGAAAACAGAAGAGUGGGCUGGGCAUGGUGGCUCACGCCUGUAAUCCCAGCACUCUGGGAGGCUGAGGUGGGUGGAUUACCUGAGAUC
This 938-nucleotide long non-coding RNA is filed under the name Homo sapiens (human). RNAcentral's name for it is "HSALNT0356109". Lineage: Eukaryota; Metazoa; Chordata; Mammalia; Primates; Hominidae. The record is from RNAcentral.